GGAGGCGUCAGGGUGUCUGGUGACCCCCGCGGCCUCUAAAGCCGACGUGGCCCGGCAACCGGGUCAGGCGGGUUCGAUUCCCGUCCGCCUCCGCCAU
RNAcentral lists this transfer RNA (97 nucleotides) under Klenkia terrae. Its description in RNAcentral is "partial tRNA-SeC (CTA)". It matches the Rfam family "Selenocysteine transfer RNA". The record is from RNAcentral. Lineage: Bacteria; Bacillati; Actinomycetota; Actinomycetes; Geodermatophilales; Geodermatophilaceae.